Molecule: ribosomal RNA, 1468 nt
Filed under: uncultured organism
Description: 16S ribosomal RNA
Rfam family: Bacterial small subunit ribosomal RNA
Source: RNAcentral
UGGCUCAGGAUGAACGCUGGCGGCGUGCCUAAUACAUGCAAGUCGAGCGAACGGACGAGAAGCUUGCUUCUCUGAUGUUAGCGGCGGACGGGUGAGUAACACGUGGAUAACCUACCUAUAAGACUGGGAUAACUUCGGGAAACCGGAGCUAAUACCGGAUAAUAUUUUGAACCGCAUGGUUCAAAAGUGAAAGACGGUCUUGCUGUCACUUAUAGAUGGAUCCGCGCUGCAUUAGCUAGUUGGUAAGGUAACGGCUUACCAAGGCAACGAUGCAUAGCCGACCUGAGAGGGUGAUCGGCCACACUGGAACUGAGACACGGUCCAGACUCCUACGGGAGGCAGCAGUAGGGAAUCUUCCGCAAUGGGCGAAAGCCUGACGGAGCAACGCCGCGUGAGUGAUGAAGGUCUUCGGAUCGUAAAACUCUGUUAUUAGGGAAGAACAUAUGUGUAAGUAACUGUGCACAUCUUGACGGUACCUAAUCAGAAAGCCACGGCUAACUACGUGCCAGCAGCCGCGGUAAUACGUAGGUGGCAAGCGUUAUCCGGAAUUAUUGGGCGUAAAGCGCGCGUAGGCGGUUUUUUAAGUCUGAUGUGAAAGCCCACGGCUCAACCGUGGAGGGUCAUUGGAAACUGGAAAACUUGAGUGCAGAAGAGGAAAGUGGAAUUCCAUGUGUAGCGGUGAAAUGCGCAGAGAUAUGGAGGAACACCAGUGGCGAAGGCGACUUUCUGGUCUGUAACUGACGCUGAUGUGCGAAAGCGUGGGGAUCAAACAGGAUUAGAUACCCUGGUAGUCCACGCCAUAAACGAUGAGUGCUAAGUGUUAGGGGGUUUCCGCCCCUUAGUGCUGCAGCUAACGCAUUAAGCACUCCGCCUGGGGAGUACGACCGCAAGGUUGAAACUCAAAGGAAUUGACGGGGACCCGCACAAGCGGUGGAGCAUGUGGUUUAAUUCGAAGCAACGCGAAGAACCUUACCAAAUCUUGACAUCCUUUGACAACUCUAGAGAUAGAGCCUUCCCCUUCGGGGGACAAAGUGACAGGUGGUGCAUGGUUGUCGUCAGCUCGUGUCGUGAGAUGUUGGGUUAAGUCCCGCAACGAGCGCAACCCUUAAGCUUAGUUGCCAUCAUUAAGUUGGGCACUCUAAGUUGACUGCCGGUGACAAACCGGAGGAAGGUGGGGAUGACGUCAAAUCAUCAUGCCCCUUAUGAUUUGGGCUACACACGUGCUACAAUGGACAAUACAAAGGGCAGCGAAACCGCGAGGUCAAGCAAAUCCCAUAAAGUUGUUCUCAGUUCGGAUUGUAGUCUGCAACUCGACUACAUGAAGCUGGAAUCGCUAGUAAUCGUAGAUCAGCAUGCUACGGUGAAUACGUUCCCGGGUCUUGUACACACCGCCCGUCACACCACGAGAGUUUGUAACACCCGAAGCCGGUGGAGUAACCUUUUAGGAGCUAGCCGUCGAAGGUGGGAC